Molecule: long non-coding RNA, 565 nt
Organism: Scleropages formosus (Asian bonytongue)
Lineage: Eukaryota; Metazoa; Chordata; Actinopteri; Osteoglossiformes; Osteoglossidae
Exons: 3
Source: RefSeq, a predicted model, not a curated record
UUCAUGAUCAGUUCCCCCCCAGCAGAGUGUGUCACGUGAAGGUGUGAUCACGUGCUGCUUUGCGGAGGACCCCGCGCGAGUAGCUGAACGGACCGAAAAUGAACGUUUGACUUCCUGAGAAAUUCGGAAUUUACAUCGUCGUAAGGGUGUCAUUCUGUGCGCGUUUUGUAUUUUCCGAAGGAGAAAUCAAUAUUCAGCACCGCGGACAGCGAAUAACUCCCCACCGCCGAUCGGAAAUUACCUGCGCUUCCGCAGGCCGCCGCUAGAUGACAGCAAAACGCACCCAGAAUAAAACCAGAGUCGGAGGAGUGUGGCGCUGCCUUCAUUGCCAACGUUUCUAGCAGAGCAAUUUUCUCCGAUGUUCCUAAAUUUGGCGAUGGUUUCAGAGUGAACAUUUCCUCUGUUUCUUCACCCUGACAUCAUUUGAUGGUAAAGAGCAGCCAGAAUUGGAACUGGAGACCAGAUUAGUUUAACCAGUGUUUACUGCUGGUGUCCAGUGUUUCUGAGUUUGAUGAAAAACAACAUAAACCCUGCAGAAAUUGAUUAAAAAUAAUAGAAAUUUGAA